GGUCUGUAUCUAAAGGAUACCCUAUGCGCUACUCAAAAAAAUAAAUAAAUAAAUAAAGGGGACAUCACAUUUAAAUGAAAAGAAAAUCUACGCUUGUACGAGCAGAUUAUUUGCUGAAUAAUCUACAUUUAAUUUCAGCUUUCAUUAAGUCUUCCUGAGGAGGACACAUACAAAACAUUUAUGAGUGAAAAAGACAAGCAAUGGAGAAGGCAAACGAAAGUGCUCAUGAGAACAUCUCCAAGGGCCAAUUAAAACAGAGACUUGCUUAUGAGAAAAGAGUUCUAAAGAAGCACAACAAGGAUGUGGUGUACACUGUUGGACAAGAGGUUCUUCUUUUCAACAUGAGAAAGCGAGGAAGGAAAGGGGGAUGAAUUGAGCCCGAUUUCAACGGCCCAUACACGAUCCAGGAAAUUCAAGGAAAGCUAGUGACUUUGUCAAGUACAGAGGGUCUACCACUAAAAACUAAAUACAGCAUGGAUCACAUAAAACCUUAUAAAAGGAGUUUGGAACAGGAAGACAGCCCAAUUCCUACGAAACGCCCACACUUGCAAACCCCAAUUGAAGAACCACAAAAAAGGCCUACAGUUAUUGCCUAUGCCCUUCCCGAAGAAGAAAUCGUAAAAUUGCAUUUACUACAGGACCCUUUUCUGCCUAUGAUGUUGUGUUAUGUAGAUUAAAUACAUAUGUUGUAAUUAAAAUGUAUUUAAUGUUCUAUAUCCCCCAAUUUAUCAUUAUUUCAUCUUCUUUAAUAUUUAUUUCAUUCAUUUAAAAGAAAAA
Thalassophryne amazonica is the source of this 777-nucleotide long non-coding RNA. RefSeq lists it as uncharacterized. The transcript is spliced from 3 exons. NCBI's taxonomy places the organism in Eukaryota, Metazoa, Chordata, Actinopteri, Batrachoidiformes, Batrachoididae. The record is from RefSeq and is a predicted model, not a curated record.